AGAACGAACGCUGGCGGCAUGCCUAACACAUGCAAGUCGAACGCUCAUCCGGCUUCGGCCGGAUGGGAGUGGCGCACGGGUGAGUAGCGCGUGGGAACCUGCCCUGUUGUGGGGGAUAACCGAGGGAAACUUCGGCUAAUACCGCAUGCGCCCCGGCGAAAGCCGGGGGAAAGAUUUAUCGCAGCAGGAGGGGCCCGCGUCGGAUUAGGUAGUUGGUGGGGUAACGGCCCACCAAGCCGAUGAUCCGUAGCUGGUCUGAGAGGAUGAUCAGCCACACUGGGACUGAGACACGGCCCAGACUCCUACGGGAGGCAGCAGUGGGGAAUAUUGGACAAUGGGGGCAACCCUGAUCCAGCAAUGCCGCGUGAGUGAUGAAGGCCUUAGGGUUGUAAAGCACUUUUAGUGGGGAUGAAAAGCCUAGGGUUAAUACCUCUGGGUCUUGACCUAACCUACAGAAAAGCACCGGCUAACUCUGUGCCAGCAGCCGCGGU
This 491-nucleotide ribosomal RNA is filed under the name uncultured bacterium. RNAcentral describes it as "SSU rRNA". It matches the Rfam family "Bacterial small subunit ribosomal RNA", at positions 26 to 521 of the family's 1533-position model. The record is from RNAcentral.